GAUGAAGAACGCAGUGAAAUGCGAUAAGUAAUGUGAAUUGCAGAAUUCAGUGAAUCAUCGAAUCUUUGAACGCACCUUGCACCCUUUGGUAUUCCGAAGGGUAUGCUCGUUUGAGUGUCAUUGUACCCUCACACUUCUAAUUCCUUUCGGGAUUGGGAGCGGUGGACUUGGGUGUUGCUGCUUUAGUUGUGGCUCACCUCAAAUAAGUUAGUGCAACUCUUGGUUGGACAUAGUACGGCGUGAUAAGUGUCUUCGCCGGCGCCUCUGUAAGGAGGGUGGCCGAUCGGGAGCUCUGUGCUUCAAACCGUCUUCGGACAAUCUUUGACAACUUGACCUCAAAUCGAGUAGGACUACCCGCUGAACUUAAGCAUAUCAAUAAGCGGAGGA
This 387-nucleotide unclassified non-coding RNA is filed under the name soil metagenome. RNAcentral describes it as "partial contains 5.8S ribosomal RNA, internal transcribed spacer 2, and large subunit ribosomal RNA". The stretch from base 1 to 120 matches the Rfam family "5.8S ribosomal RNA", at positions 35 to 154 of the family's 154-position model. The record is from RNAcentral.